AAGGAGGUGCGAUCAUGACGAAGUCAGAUAUAUGAAUCGCACCGACCGACACGCCGCCGAACUUGCGUGAGGUGGCAAUACAUA
RNAcentral lists this small RNA (84 nucleotides) under uncultured Eubacterium sp. Its description in RNAcentral is "GA-cis RNA". It matches the Rfam family "GA-cis RNA". The record is from RNAcentral. Lineage: Bacteria; Bacillati; Bacillota; Clostridia; Eubacteriales; Eubacteriaceae.